CCUGACCCCCUUCAAUGCCCAUCCCCCAAAAGAUAAACACACAGAUGUCAAGUUUCUGUGAGUACCUCCGAUGUUGUCGCAAUCAUAAUCAUCGUCGUAUAUAGCACCAAUUCAUGCAUCUUCCCUAAAAUUCGACAGAAUAGGCAUGUUUUAGGUUCAAGUUCACGUACCAAAGAUGGGUUCCCGACCACGUCUCCUCCUCCUUGCGUAGUCGCCUUCAUGUAAGCAAACCAACUUGAUGGCAAGAUUUUCUGCAUACAGUAAAAGAACACUCCAAAAGAUUCAAGAUUAAUGAUUGAUAUUACUAAUGUAAUCAUUCAUGCUGUAAGUAUUGUCCAAAGCUACUCUUCUCUGAUAAAUCAAUCAACGAAGAUGAGAUAAGAGUUCCUAUAACAAUAAUGGAACAGGUCGAUCCUGGAAACAAGCCAUACUAUAACAAUUCGAUCUGCCUGUCAAGUUGAUCACUUUAGGUAAAGUAAAGUUCCAAUCAACUGAAAGGAAUGGAACUUUACUUUAGGUUCCUUCUGCAAUGUAAUAUUUCCUAAUUGGAUGCUGAUUGUUAUCUGUAUAAUAAGUUUGGCCUGAAUCCAUUCUACGGGAGCUACUUAUCGGGGACUAGUGUUACUGAUAACAAUGCUUACCAUGUCAAGACUUGAAUUUCAAUCCAUAAAGGCUAAUCUUUACCAAUUAUAUGAAUGAAGAACAUCUUCAUGUCCAGUGCCUAUCUAACAAGUGACAACACACAACUUAUCUCUGCAGGCAUCGACUUCCAACUACAUUAGAAAACUAGUUGCUCAAUCAACCAGUCGAAAACUGCGCACAAGGGUUUAUUCUCCCUUAGGAGUUUGUCUCCGAGGGUAGCGUUUGUUGCAGGGAAGUCGGAGGCAGUGCUUUAAACUUCCCAGAAUGUUGUUGGAAGCUUUUGAUGGAGUGCUUCUCUCAUCACCGCCUCUUGGUUGGUUGCUGAAUUUAUGAUAUGAGAAACACCCUCUUAUGGUGUGAGUCAAAUUAUAGUCACAUUGAGAGGUAACAUCAUUUUGGGUGUCCAGUAAAUUCCUUGCAGAUUCAUCGUCAUCACCGUUGUUUUGAUGUUUAUCCCACGAGUAAGCUGAGCUGAAAAUUGUUGAAAUAAUACAAUGAGUUACAGAUCUAGAACUGUUUAUAAUCAAUUUGUGGAAAGCUGUUAAAAUGGAUCAUCAACAAAAAGGAGAUGAGGAGCUAUUGAACAGGGUAUAAGUGCUAAUAAACAGUACAAGAUUAACUAGAGAUGUGAGCUUGGAUUACUUACUAGUCACAUUCAUCAUCCGAGUCAAGCUCCUCAGGUCUUGAUGGUACCCCGGCCAAUUGAUGGGCAUAUGAUGCAUGAUGAAUGAACUGCAGCUAAAGGAGCAAAAAAGACUUCAAAGUUGUCAUUCAGAGCGUAAGUGUAACAUAAAGAUUCUAACAUGGAGAUGUUUCAAGUUCAACCAGAAGCAGCAUUGUGUGAGAAAGGGCACCAACAAAGUGAAGACAAUAGUAUAAAAUUGAAUUGCAGUUGUAGUAUGCCUUGUUGUAACCCUUGAUGUUAAGAGACAUUUACUUUUAGGUUUAAA
Long non-coding RNA from Andrographis paniculata, 1592 nucleotides. RefSeq lists it as uncharacterized. Lineage: Eukaryota; Viridiplantae; Streptophyta; Magnoliopsida; Lamiales; Acanthaceae. The record is from RefSeq and is a predicted model, not a curated record. The transcript is spliced from 3 exons.